GAGGGCAAGUCUGGUGCCAGCAGCCGCGGUAAUUCCAGCCCCAAUAGCGUAUAUUAAAAUUGUUGCAGUUAAAAAGCUCGUAGUUGAAUUUCAGCUGCUCCGCACUUUCUUCCCGUUAUGGAGGUUGUGCGCCGUGGCUUAUUUCGGACUGUGUUAUGCACUGUCCGGAUGUUUACUUUGAGAAAAUUAGAGUGCUCAAAGCAGGCUUUUGCCUUGAAUAGUUUAGCAUGGAAUAAUAAAGUAGGACUUUGGUUCUAUUUUGUUGGUUUUAGGUACCAAAGUAAUGGUUAAUAGGAACAGUUGGGGGCAUUCGUAUUUAACUGUCAGAGGUGAAAUUCUUAGAUUUGUUAAAGACGAACUACUGCGAAAGCAUUUGCCAAGGAUGUUUUCAUUAAUCAAGAACGAAAGUUAGGGGAUCGAAGACGAUCAGAUACCGUCGUAGUCCUAACCAUAAACUAUGCCGACUAGAGAUUGGAGGUCGUCAGUUUUUACGACUCCUUCAGCACCCUGAGAG
This 514-nucleotide ribosomal RNA is filed under the name Theileria cervi. RNAcentral describes it as "SSU rRNA". It matches the Rfam family "Eukaryotic small subunit ribosomal RNA", at positions 551 to 1094 of the family's 1831-position model. Lineage: Eukaryota; Apicomplexa; Aconoidasida; Piroplasmida; Theileriidae. The record is from RNAcentral.